This 328-nucleotide long non-coding RNA is filed under the name Prunus persica (peach). Its description in RNAcentral is "long non-coding RNA (PPER_LNC001022)". Lineage: Eukaryota; Viridiplantae; Streptophyta; Magnoliopsida; Rosales; Rosaceae. The record is from RNAcentral.
CAACCACUCAAUUUCCGAACGAACUUUGUAUGAACCUCAAUUGUCCAAUUUCAUGGACCAAUCAAUGUCGGAUUGAGUCCAAAACUUGGGCAACAUCAUAGUAAGAUGGGAAGUCAUUUGGUGCUCCUUGAGUGAAAUCCAAUAUCUAAAACUGUGCAAAACACAAACCACUCCAUUUCUGAACGAACUUCGUACGAACUUGAAUUAUCCAAUUUCACGGACCAAUCGAUAUCGGAUUGAGUCCAAAACUUGGGAAACAUCAUAAUAUGGGGGGAGGAGUCAGUUGGUGAGUUUUGAGUGAAAUCCAAUCUCUAAAACUAUGCAAUAC